Psammomys obesus (fat sand rat) is the source of this 107-nucleotide small nuclear RNA. NCBI's taxonomy places the organism in Eukaryota, Metazoa, Chordata, Mammalia, Rodentia, Muridae. The record is from RefSeq and is a predicted model, not a curated record.
GUGUUGGCUUCAGCAGCACAUAUAUUAAAAUUGGAACGAUGCAGAGAAAACUAGCAUGGGCCCAGCGUAAGGAUGACAUCCAAAUUCAUGAAGUGUUCCAUAUUAAA